This 1149-nucleotide ribosomal RNA is filed under the name Escherichia coli P0298942.11. RNAcentral describes it as "bacterial SSU rRNA". It matches the Rfam family "Bacterial small subunit ribosomal RNA", at positions 8 to 1147 of the family's 1533-position model. Lineage: Bacteria; Pseudomonadati; Pseudomonadota; Gammaproteobacteria; Enterobacterales; Enterobacteriaceae. The record is from RNAcentral.
AGAGUUUGAUCAUGGCUCAGAUUGAACGCUGGCGGCAGGCCUAACACAUGCAAGUCGAACGGUAACAGGAAACAGCUUGCUGUUUCGCUGACGAGUGGCGGACGGGUGAGUAAUGUCUGGGAAACUGCCUGAUGGAGGGGGAUAACUACUGGAAACGGUAGCUAAUACCGCAUAACGUCGCAAGACCAAAGAGGGGGACCUUCGGGCCUCUUGCCAUCGGAUGUGCCCAGAUGGGAUUAGCUAGUAGGUGGGGUAACGGCUCACCUAGGCGACGAUCCCUAGCUGGUCUGAGAGGAUGACCAGCCACACUGGAACUGAGACACGGUCCAGACUCCUACGGGAGGCAGCAGUGGGGAAUAUUGCACAAUGGGCGCAAGCCUGAUGCAGCCAUGCCGCGUGUAUGAAGAAGGCCUUCGGGUUGUAAAGUACUUUCAGCGGGGAGGAAGGGAGUAAAGUUAAUACCUUUGCUCAUUGACGUUACCCGCAGAAGAAGCACCGGCUAACUCCGUGCCAGCAGCCGCGGUAAUACGGAGGGUGCAAGCGUUAAUCGGAAUUACUGGGCGUAAAGCGCACGCAGGCGGUUUGUUAAGUCAGAUGUGAAAUCCCCGGGCUCAACCUGGGAACUGCAUCUGAUACUGGCAAGCUUGAGUCUCGUAGAGGGGGGUAGAAUUCCAGGUGUAGCGGUGAAAUGCGUAGAGAUCUGGAGGAAUACCGGUGGCGAAGGCGGCCCCCUGGACGAAGACUGACGCUCAGGUGCGAAAGCGUGGGGAGCAAACAGGAUUAGAUACCCUGGUAGUCCACGCCGUAAACGAUGUCGACUUGGAGGUUGUGCCCUUGAGGCGUGGCUUCCGGAGCUAACGCGUUAAGUCGACCGCCUGGGGAGUACGGCCGCAAGGUUAAAACUCAAAUGAAUUGACGGGGGCCCGCACAAGCGGUGGAGCAUGUGGUUUAAUUCGAUGCAACGCGAAGAACCUUACCUGGUCUUGACAUCCACAGAACUUUCCAGAGAUGGAUUGGUACCUUCGGGAACUGUGAGACAGGUGCUGCAUGGCUGUCGUCAGCUCGUGUUGUGAAAUGUUGGGUUAAGUCCCGCAACGAGCGCAACCCUUAUCCUUUGUUGCCAGCGGUCCGGCCGGGAACUCAAAGGAG